GAAGGGGGCAAGCGUUGUUCGGAAUNACUGGGCGUAAAGGGAGUGUAGGCGGUUAUGUAAGAUAGUGGUGAAAUCCCAGAGCUUAACUUUGGAAUNGCCAUUAUGACUAUGUGGCUAGAAUNACAGAGAGGAUAGUGGAAUACCCAGUGUAGAGGUGAAAUUCGUAGAUAUUGGGUAGAACACCAGUGGCGAAGGCGACUAUCUGGCUGUAUAUUGACGCUGAGGCUCGAAAGCAUGGGGAUCAAACAGGAUUAGAUACCCUGGUAGUCCAUGCUGUAAACGAUGAGUGCUUGUUGUCGGUAUUGUAUCGGUGACGAAGUUAACGCGUUAAGCACUCCGCCUGGGGAGU
RNAcentral lists this ribosomal RNA (349 nucleotides) under uncultured bacterium. RNAcentral describes it as "bacterial SSU rRNA". It matches the Rfam family "Bacterial small subunit ribosomal RNA", at positions 527 to 881 of the family's 1533-position model. The record is from RNAcentral.